RNA transcript from Sorex araneus (European shrew), 2463 nucleotides. It is a transcript of the gene named ral guanine nucleotide dissociation stimulator-like, with no coding region annotated. The record is from RefSeq and is a predicted model, not a curated record. The transcript is spliced from 3 exons. NCBI's taxonomy places the organism in Eukaryota, Metazoa, Chordata, Mammalia, Eulipotyphla, Soricidae.
GUGAGUGCUGGUGCCUCAGUCGCUCACUCCACUGCAGCUGCAGGACCCAGCCCUUCCAUUCACAGUGCUGGCCUGGGGAAGUGGAGAUGCCACUGUGUGGUGGCAGAAUGGUGUGUGAGUUGUCCUGCACAUGUUAAGGCUCCUCACCUUGUGCUCCCCCAGCCAGAGCUGUUUGCUGGUCAGCCCCAACAACCACCCGGGCCUGUCAAGUUUGUUUCUUCUUUCUGCAGGUGCCAGGUCAUUGAGCUUUGACCAUUUGGGACACUCCUGAACCCAAGGAACUAUGACCUCAGAGCAGCACACACACUUGCCCCAUGCACGCAAAAUUUGCCAUGCUUCCCCAGCUGCAGAACACGAUUCAUCAGGUGGCACCGCCACUGCAUGACUGAGAGUCAGUCUAUUGCUCCACGCGGCCCAGUACAGGACUGGGGUCAGGCCCCAGAGAGCUGGCCAGCAGGGAUGGCUGAGAAGUCUCUCAGGAGCACAGAUUGCUUUUUACUCCUGGAUGAAGUGUUUUGAAGGCAGGAAAGUCAGCCCCUGCAUUUCUUCUUUCAAUGAGAGACGGACGCAGCUCCUGGGGGUCGCCAGGAACCCGGGCACCUUCGCGUCCCUGAUCUGAUGUGACCGAGCCCUGGUCGCGCCUUCGGAACUUCGACUGUUGGUGACCCGCGGGUCACGGGCCGAGGCUCGGGGCGGGAGGUGGCGCACAGCGGGCCCGGUGUCCAUGCCCAGAAAGGCUCGGGCCGAAGCGCCGCAUGUGGCCCUGGACCCCUGGGCCCGCCAGGCCGGGCCGCUGCUGCCGAGUCCUGCAGACCCCGCAGGACGCGCCUCUCUGCGCUCACCAGGUACCGCCAGGAGACACCGCCGAGUCUCCUGAGCACCACCCGACUCCCCCUGGGCUCCUGGGAAAGCCCCAGACCCGAGACGGCUCAGCGGAGCAGUCCCCGGCGACCCUGCGGAGAGAGCUCAGGCCCGCAGCAGCCCCCCGCGGCCAGGACCCCUGGGAAGGCGCCUCCUUCUCCCGCACGGCUUCUCCACUGCCCUCUAGUGACCACCGCUGGCAUUACGCCAACAGGCCGGGAGAAGCGUUUCAAGAACCCAGGUGCAUUUGGACCUAGCAGGCCAGGAAGAGGGUAUGGGGAGGGGCUGGAGCAGCAGCACAGCAGGUGGGCCAGCUGCCUUGCAAGCCCCGCCUCAGUUCCCGCCACCACCGUGGGUCUCCCAAGGUGUGGCCCAAAAGAAUGUCUUGGGGGGAGGGGGGUGGCUGGAGCAAUAGUACAGCAGGUAGGGCGUUUGCCUUUCACGCGGCUGACCCGGGUUCGAUUCCCAGCAUCCCAUAUGGUUCCCUGAGCAAUGCCAGAAGUGAUUUCUGAGUGGAGAGCCAGGGGUCAGCCCUAGGAGUCAGCAUCAUUGGGUGUGACCGAAAAAUAAUAAAAAAAAAAGAAAAGGAAAAAUAAACCAAGAAUGUCUUGGGAAUUGUGUGUGUGACUGUGCGAGUACACAUACCUGGCGAGUCUGUGUGUUUGGCGGUUGAGAUGAGCACACAGCUGGUCUGUGUUUGUGUGUGUGGCUGUGAGGUCUGCACAUAUCUGUGCACCAGGUUGAGAGGGGUAGAGACAGUCUUUGUGAGGAAGUGAGUCUGCAGGCUAUGGGGGUUCAUUGCAGGGCCCCAGAGAGGGGACUGUUCAGGACAGUUCAGGAGCUGGCCUGGUGGAACUAAGCCCAGGUCUGAGCUUCCCCUCAUGCACAGUAACCCCUGUGCAUCGCCAGGUGUGACCCAAAAAGAAGAAAAAAAAAAGGCCCAGGCGCGGGCUCCAAAGGGGGACAGCAGGACUCACGGGGGAGCGCCCACUGCCCAGUCCAAAGGGGCGAGAGGACAAGUGGCGGGAAGGAGCUGCUGUGAGCCAGCCAGGUGGGAUAUGCCUGCGGGGACUGCUAUUAGGGGAGUCUCUACUUGGGAGUCCUGGACCCCACCUGGGGCAGGCACAGGUCCGGGGCUGGGUCGGCUCCCUGGGGAGGCGGGGACCAUGCACUGCUGUCCCUUUGCAGGCUGUGUGAGGGUGAGAGGUUAUACUGUGCGGUGUGCGGUUUGGGCCAAAGUGCCUGGCGACUGUGCAGACACUUUCUGCCCCGCUGCCUUGCGCUGGUGGCAUCCCUGAGUCAUCUUGUCUGUGCUGUGGAUGCGGGGCUGCCCCACAGAGAGGCCCUGCUCCUGAUGGCACACACCGAGCCUAUGGCUAUUCGGUGCCCUGUGCUCAGGGACCAUUCAUGGCAGGACAUAAGGGAUCCUAGGUGGAGCCAGGGUUCAAUCGCGUGCAAGGCAAGCAUCUGACUUGCUGUCCUAUCUCUCCAGCCCUCACAUUAGGUUUUUACCAUACUGGUAUAAUGACGAAUGUAGGCCAAUCUGAUUUAUGAUUCAAUAAUAGUUACCAUCCUUUUUGCCUUCUGAUCUCAGUCAUUCUA